RNAcentral lists this ribosomal RNA (1404 nucleotides) under Yersinia ruckeri. RNAcentral describes it as "bacterial LSU rRNA". It matches the Rfam family "Bacterial large subunit ribosomal RNA", at positions 1 to 1436 of the family's 2925-position model. The record is from RNAcentral. Lineage: Bacteria; Pseudomonadati; Pseudomonadota; Gammaproteobacteria; Enterobacterales; Yersiniaceae.
GGGUUGUGAGGUUAAGCGACUAAGCGUACACGGUGGAUGCCUAGGCAGUCAGAGGCGAUGAAGGGCGUGCUAAUCUGCGAAAAGCGUCGGUAAGCUGAUAUGAAGCGUAAUAACCGACGAUACCCGAAUGGGGAAACCCAGUGCAAUUCGUUGCACUAUUGCAUGGUGAAUACAUAGCCAUGCAAGGCGAACCGGGGGAACUGAAACAUCUAAGUACCCCGAGGAAAAGAAAUCAACCGAGAUUCCCCCAGUAGCGGCGAGCGAACGGGGAAGAGCCCAGAGUCUGAAUCAGUUGGUGUGUUAGUGGAAGCGUCUGGAAAGUCGCACGGUACAGGGUGAUAGUCCCGUACACAAAAACACACUGGCUGUGAACUCGAUGAGUAGGGCGGGACACGUGACAUCCUGUCUGAAUAUGGGGGGACCAUCCUCCAAGGCUAAAUACUCCUGACUGACCGAUAGUGAACCAGUACCGUGAGGGAAAGGCGAAAAGAACCCCGGCGAGGGGAGUGAAAUAGAACCUGAAACCGUGUACGUACAAGCAGUGGGAGCACCUUCGUGGUGUGACUGCGUACCUUUUGUAUAAUGGGUCAGCGACUUAUAUUUUGUAGCAAGGUUAACCGAAUAGGGGAGCCGUAGGGAAACCGAGUCUUAACUGGGCGUCUAGUUGCAAGGUAUAGACCCGAAACCCGGUGAUCUAGCCAUGGGCAGGUUGAAGGUUGGGUAACACUAACUGGAGGACCGAACCGACUAAUGUUGAAAAAUUAGCGGAUGACUUGUGGCUGGGGGUGAAAGGCCAAUCAAACCGGGAGAUAGCUGGUUCUCCCCGAAAGCUAUUUAGGUAGCGCCUCGUGAACUCAUCUUCGGGGGUAGAGCACUGUUUCGGCUAGGGGUCCAUCCCGGAUUACCAAACCGAUGCAAACUCCGAAUACCGAAGAAUGUUAUCACGGGAGACACACGGCGGGUGCUAACGUCCGUCGUGAAGAGGGAAACAACCCAGACCGCCAGCUAAGGUCCCAAAGUCAUGGUUAAGUGGGAAACGAUGUGGGAAGGCAUAGACAGCCAGGAUGUUGGCUUAGAAGCAGCCAUCAUUUAAAGAAAGCGUAAUAGCUCACUGGUCGAGUCGGCCUGCGCGGAAGAUGUAACGGGGCUAAACCAUGCACCGAAGCUGCGGCAGCGACGCUUAGGCGUUGUUGGGUAGGGGAGCGUUCUGUAAGCCGUUGAAGGUGGCCUGUGAGGGCUGCUGGAGGUAUCAGAAGUGCGAAUGCUGACAUAAGUAACGAUAAUGCGGGUGAAAAACCCGCACGCCGGAAGACCAAGGGUUCCUGUCCAACGUUAAUCGGGGCAGGGUGAGUCGACCCCUAAGGCGAGGCUGAAAAGCGUAGUCGAUGGGAAACAGGUUAAUAU